Papaver somniferum (opium poppy) is the source of this 1426-nucleotide long non-coding RNA. RefSeq lists it as uncharacterized. The record is from RefSeq and is a predicted model, not a curated record. NCBI's taxonomy places the organism in Eukaryota, Viridiplantae, Streptophyta, Magnoliopsida, Ranunculales, Papaveraceae. The transcript is spliced from 6 exons.
CUUCUCUACCUUCACUCACCACCACCAUUGUUCUUCAUUCAAAAUCUUACCAAAACCCAAAACCCGCAUGAACAGGAUCAAUCAAUUCCCUUAUUCUUCACUAUGGUUUCAUCAAUUCGUAUUAAGAGAAAAACCCUAAUUUGUAUUAUCACUUUUUUAUUUCUGUAGUUACUAUUAUUUUUGUUUAAAAUCAAACAAGAAUAUUAAGAAGAAGUACUUAGGUGGUGCUUUUUACAUUAACUGAUGAAUUUCAGUCGAUUGAUGUUUUUCAACGAGUCUCCUCAUGAUCCACAAGCAUUUACUCAGUGACUGUAAAAGGGCAAAAGAGUUGUUAAAAAGGUUUGAGAACUUGAAAUUGAUCCAAGUCUUCCACCAUUAGUUUUUAAAUCCUAGUUCUAACAGGAGUUGCCCCACUGAAAGGCAAAAGAUUGUGAUUAAUGGUGGCUUGCUAAAGGAUGAUGAUGAUCAGUUACAAAACCUUCUUGUGUUGUAUAGUUUUUCACGUAAAAUCCUGCUCAAUGCAUCUACGGAUGCCAGGGUCAAAACUGAUGAUGAUGGGAACCACAGAUGAGACUGUGAAAGCUCCAGAGAAAGGUCCUGUUUUUUAUAGACCUACGAAAAGAAGAAUAAGCCAUUGAUGCGGGGCACACUGCUGAUCUAUAUAAUUUGGGAAACACCUGCUACAUGAAUUUUUCUCUACAAUGCUUGCAUUCAGUUCCUGAGCUGAAAUCGGAGCUAAUUAAGUAUCUUGGAAAACCAACAACUUGGAUCAGUCUUCACAUCUCCUGACUAUUGCAACUCAAGAUUUGUAUGAUAAGCUAGAUCGAAAUGUGAAACCUAUCUCCCUGAUGCAGUUUUGGAUGUUGAUUGUGACAAUGGAAUCAAUCUAGAUUUUGAUGCAAUGAUGAGAUGAAGCACACGAGAAUGUGUAUAAGGCCGUGGGAAGUACCUGUAAGUGUUUGCAUUAAGCCUUUAAGUCUUUAACAAAAACGACUUCUCCUUCCGCUGACCUUCAACAAUCUCUGUAGAUUCCUUUUUCUGUUACUCGAAUAUCAUAAUGUCCAUGAAAUAGCUUUUCCUUUUCAGUGGGUUUCCGGAAAGCACAUUCAAGGGCUUACAGGUGACAUUUUUAUGAAAGACUUGAUGAGCUCAAAAGUUGUGCAAAAUCUUUCUAGUGAUUCUGUUUGUGUCCUCUUGUGUUAGGUGUUUUGUGAACUUUUACAUUUGGAUCCUCGGUAGAUUGACUAACAUCUUUAAGAAUCAGAUUAUAUGUAUUUCUUAAUUAUUCAAAGUACUUCCGUGGACAUGUCAUUUUCAAUGUAAAAUUUAGGCCGGGAGAAUAUGACACAGGGCCGCUUUCAGUAAAUCAAUCAACUUGGUCUAAACGUCCCGUAACAGGCUUCCCCACUCACAGAACUCAUAGGUU